AGUGCUCUGAGAGAGUUUAUAGUGCUGUGAGUUUAACACUUCAUGACUGAUACUGUUUAUCAUCACAAAAAAAACAACUACAAUGACAUUGAUCAUAUUCUUCUUGAUCUUAGGGAUGUAUUUUCAAGACUCUGCAGGACAGGUGACUGUGAUUCAGACUCCAACAGAGAAACAUGUUCAGAACGGACAAACAGUGACUCUGACCUGUAAAACCAGCAGCUCUAUUGGACGCCAGUCAGACGGUUGGUGUGGGUCAUGUCUCUCCUGGUACCUACAGAAACCUGGAGAAGCUCCUAAACUAUUAGUGCACAGCAUUAAAACCCUUUACUCUGGAACUCCAUCAAGAUUCAGUGGAAAUGGAGCUAAUUAUGGAAGUGAUUUCUCUCUGACCAUCAGAGGAGUCCAGACUGAAGAUACAGGAGAUUAUUACUGUCAGAGUGAACACUAUAUCAGUGGUAGUUAUGUGUUCACACAGUGAUAAAUAGUCGUACAAAAAGCUGUGAGUCAGAGUCACAGUGACUGCACUGAUACAGCUGAGAGAUACUGCAGCUGAUGAUGAGAGGAUCACAAACAACACAAACUCACUGAAUCAAACACUUCACAGAUUUUUUUAUAUGAUGUUCUAAGGAGGAAAUAUACUUAUUAAUGCAAUGUAAUAUAAUUACAUAACACUCAUUACAUUUGACAUUGC
Puntigrus tetrazona (Sumatra barb) is the source of this 691-nucleotide non-coding RNA. The record is from the annotation of a RefSeq genome assembly. Lineage: Eukaryota; Metazoa; Chordata; Actinopteri; Cypriniformes; Cyprinidae.